AAAAAAUAAAUAUUGACGGCAGGACCAAAACGAAGUUGUAGUUGAAGGAGUUCAAGGAGGAGUUGCUGAAAACAAAAAUGAGGUUGCAGCUGAAUGAGCUCAUUUCCAUGAGAUUCACAUUGCUGAUAUAUGGGCAAAUGACAACUGGUUGUUUUACUAUGAUGGAGUUGAUAUGCUACAAUGGUGCUACUAGUGUCAGUAUACUUCAGCCUCGUGUGUUGGAAGGAAACACUAUUAAAGCUGCACAAAUAGUUAUAUAUGUGUUUGCAUGCUUAUAGUUUUAAACUUGUAUUAUUUCAUAUUAACUAAAAUCUUAAAUUAAUUGACGAGUGCACAAAAUGUUCAACUUGUUAGAAGUGUUAUGAGUUAGUUUUAGUAAUUUACUACUGAACCACUAGAAAGUUUUAAUAGUUUUUUACGGACAAAAUUUAUAAUAUGAUCGAUAUCACGGAAACUACUAUCGACCAUUCUACCGGAUAAGUGAUUAAGAAAGUAUUAUCUGAAAUUAUUUUA
RNAcentral lists this small RNA (513 nucleotides) under Arabidopsis thaliana (thale cress). RNAcentral's name for it is "ATSL154630". The record is from RNAcentral. Lineage: Eukaryota; Viridiplantae; Streptophyta; Magnoliopsida; Brassicales; Brassicaceae.